UCGAGAAUCUUCCACAAUGGACGAAAGUCUGAUGGAGCGACGCCGCGUGGUUGAUGAAGUCCUUAGGGACGUAAAAACCUUUUAUGAGGGAGGAAGUAAUUGACGUUACCUCAUGAAUAAGGGGCUCCUAACUCUGUGCCAGCAGGAGCGGUAAGACAGAGGCCCCAAGCAUUACCCGGAAUCACUGGGCGUAAAGGGUGUGUAGGUGGUCGUGUUAGUCUUUUGUUAAACCACCGGGCUCAACCCGGGACAGGCAAAAGAAACGGCACGACUUAGAGGAUGUAAGAGGCAUACGGAACUCAUGGUGUAGGGGUGAAAUCCGUUGAUAUCAUGGGGAACACCAAAAGCGAAGGCAGUAUGCUGGUGCAUUCCUGACACUGAGACACGAAAGCGUGGGUAGCGAAUGGG
RNAcentral lists this ribosomal RNA (408 nucleotides) under uncultured bacterium. RNAcentral's name for it is "bacterial SSU rRNA". It matches the Rfam family "Bacterial small subunit ribosomal RNA", at positions 355 to 776 of the family's 1533-position model. The record is from RNAcentral.